GCUCUUUUAGCUCAGUGGUAGAGCGGAAGAUUGCAGUUGUGCAAUAUAUCUUCAGGUCACUUGUUCGAACCAGGUAGAGAGCU
Non-coding RNA from Amylocarpus encephaloides, 83 nucleotides. The record is from the annotation of a GenBank genome assembly. Lineage: Eukaryota; Fungi; Ascomycota; Leotiomycetes; Helotiales.